RNAcentral lists this ribosomal RNA (616 nucleotides) under Frigoribacterium sp. Ri3Ps_5340. Its description in RNAcentral is "bacterial SSU rRNA". It matches the Rfam family "Bacterial small subunit ribosomal RNA", at positions 395 to 1018 of the family's 1533-position model. The record is from RNAcentral. Lineage: Bacteria; Bacillati; Actinomycetota; Actinomycetes; Micrococcales; Microbacteriaceae.
CGCCGCGUGAGGGAUGACGGCCUUAUCGGGUUGUAAACCUCUUUUAGUAGGGAAGAAGCGAAAGUGACGGUACCUGCAGAAAAAGCACCGGCUAACUACGUGCCAGCAGCCGCGGUAAUACGUAGGGUGCAAGCGUUGUCCGGAAUUAUUGGGCGUAAAGAGCUCGUAGGCGGUUUGUCGCGUCUGCUGUGAAAUCUGGGGGCUCAACCCCCAGCCUGCAGUGGGUACGGGCAGACUAGAGUGCGGUAGGGGAGAUUGGAAUUCCUGGUGUAGCGGUGGAAUGCGCAGAUAUCAAGAGGAACACCGAUGGCGAAGGCAGAUCUCUGGGCCGUAACUUACGCUGAGGAGCGAAAGCAUGGGGAGCGAACAGGAUUAGAUACCCUGGUAGUCCAUGCCGUAAACGUUGGGAACUAGAUGUGGGGGCCAUUCCACGGUCUCCGUGUCGCAGCUAACGCAUUAAGUUCCCCGCCUGGGGAGUACGGCCGCAAGGCUAAAACUCAAAGGAAUUGACGGGGGCCCGCACAAGCGGCGGAGCAUGCGGAUUAAUUCGAUGCAACGCGAAGAACCUUACCAAGGCUGUGACAUAUACCGGAAACAGUCCAGAGAUGGUCGCCCC